UAUUUGCUGGAAAUUUAUUAGCGGGAAAUUUAUUUUGGAAUAUUUUAGGCGAAAAAUAUUAAUCUUUCAUUUUAUUAACCUAAAACAAUUUCCAAAUAGGAGUAAAAUGGUCAUUAAAAAAUUAAAGAGGAUAAAAAAUAAAAAGGGCUAAAAAAGGGUAGAGUUGAAAAUGGGCAUCAUGAAAAGGGCAUUAGAAAGAAUUUUUCUUUGUUUCAGGCCCUAAAAAUACCCAGAAAAUAGAAACGGGUAUUUUGUAUGUUAAUAGCGGGUACCCAAAUAAAAAA
This 284-nucleotide small RNA is filed under the name Arabidopsis thaliana (thale cress). RNAcentral describes it as "ATSL216800". The record is from RNAcentral. Lineage: Eukaryota; Viridiplantae; Streptophyta; Magnoliopsida; Brassicales; Brassicaceae.